AGUAAAUUGGUUAAGUUAGAAAGGUCGCACGGUGGAGGCCUUGGCACUAGGAGCCGAAGUAGGACGGGACUAACACCGAUAUGCUUUGGGGAGCUGUACGUAAGCGUUUAUCCAGAGAUUUCCGAAUGGUGGAACCCACUAUCUUUAGUCGGAUAGUAUCCUUACGUGAAUACAU
RNAcentral lists this ribosomal RNA (175 nucleotides) under Listeria monocytogenes. RNAcentral's name for it is "partial 23S ribosomal RNA". It matches the Rfam family "Bacterial large subunit ribosomal RNA", at positions 1 to 167 of the family's 2925-position model. The record is from RNAcentral. Lineage: Bacteria; Bacillati; Bacillota; Bacilli; Caryophanales; Listeriaceae.